CCUACGGGGGGCUGCAGUGAGGAAUAUUGGUCAAUGGGCGGAAGCCUGAACCAGCCAAGUAGCGUGCGGGAUGAAGGCCCUACGGGUCGUAAACCGCUUUUGCACGGGGAUAACACCCUCCACUUGUGGAGGUCUGCAGGUACCGUGCGAAUAAGGGCCGGCUAAUUCCGUGCCAGCAGCCGCGGUAAUACGGAAGGCCCGAGCGUUAUCCGGAUUCAUUGGGCUUAAAGGGAGCGUAGGCGGGCGUUCAAGUCAGCUGUAAAAUCGCGCGGCUCAACCGCGCCCCGCAGUUGAAACUGGACGCCUUGAGUUCACAACAGGCAGGCGGAAUUCGUGGUGUAGCGGUGAAAUCCGUAGAUAUCUGGAGGAACAUCAGUGGCGAAGGCGGCCACCUGGACCGGUAUUGACGCUGAGGCGCGAAAGCGUGGGGAGCAAACAGGAUUAGAUACCCGGGUAGUC
RNAcentral lists this ribosomal RNA (459 nucleotides) under uncultured bacterium. RNAcentral describes it as "partial 16S ribosomal RNA". It matches the Rfam family "Bacterial small subunit ribosomal RNA", at positions 338 to 795 of the family's 1533-position model. The record is from RNAcentral.